Salmo salar (Atlantic salmon) is the source of this 94-nucleotide long non-coding RNA. RefSeq lists it as uncharacterized. Lineage: Eukaryota; Metazoa; Chordata; Actinopteri; Salmoniformes; Salmonidae. The record is from RefSeq and is a predicted model, not a curated record.
CCAAAACCGGCGGCCAAACCCAAAAAAGCGGCAGCACCCAAAAAGGCAGUCAAAGGAAAGAAGGCUGCUGAGAACGGUGAUGCCAAGGCUGAGG